Molecule: long non-coding RNA, 809 nt
Organism: Oxyura jamaicensis (ruddy duck)
Lineage: Eukaryota; Metazoa; Chordata; Aves; Anseriformes; Anatidae
Exons: 2
Source: RefSeq, a predicted model, not a curated record
AGCGCUGCCUCUGACCAUGGGCAAAUGUAGAUGUCUAGGAAAGAGCAUGAGAACAAGUUGCACUUUCCUGGGAAUAGCCCUGGCCAUGAGAUGGUGCACUGAGAUAUUCAAUGCAGAAAAUCACCUAGGGAGACCCAGCAUGGAAGUGUGGAGGUAUGCACCUGUGCUGUUAUCUAAGCUUUGCAGGAUUUUCCAUGACUGUCUGGGCUUCCAGUUCCUGCAGAUCUACAGAUGUCUCCCUCACCCAACUUGAUGUACCUCCUGAAGAAGGAGGUGAAGGAGACAACUGUCUGGUACUAUCAAAUGACACCUCAAACAAAUGCUGAAUUACAUCAUGCUUUUACACUCAUCUUUUAGAGACAGCUCAGAUUUGAAUACUCUUGCAGCCUUUGGUUCUGGGGAAUUUAACACAUCGUAAUUCCUAUGUGUAAGGACCCCUUUUCACUCUGUGGCAACACUGGGCUGAGGCUGAGCCUGAAGGGCUGUUUGGUUUUCACACUCAUUCAGACCAAAGCUUAGAAGCUUCUUGACAAACUCCACAGGGUCAGUGGUGUCAAGGCUGGUAUGUCAGGAAAAUAAGUUUCAGUUCCUAAACUCAUCCCACUGGUGACCUGUCGGGGCUUUGAAACCUUUUCCAGAAGCCCAGAAGGCCACGACAUUAAUCCAUGAUAGCACUCAAGCCUUGAGCACCGAGGGUUGUUGGAACAGCAAAGACAUGGGAGAAAGGGGGGUUGGAAGGACAUAUUUUCUCUUGCAGGAGCUGUGACGACAUUUCAGAUCAAAUUAAACUUCAGUUUUUAAAGACUUCA